AGGACGAACGCGGGCGGCGUGCUUAACACAUGCAAGUCGAGCGAGGCCCCACCUUCGGGUGGGUGUCCUAGCGGCGAACGGGUGAGUAACACGUGGGCAACCUGCCCCUAGCACUGGGAUAACUCCGGGAAACCGGGGCUAAUACCGGAUACGACUUCGGAAGGCAUCUUCUGAAGUGGAAAGGGUUACUGGCUAGGGAUGGGCCCGCGGCCUAUCAGCUUGUUGGUGGGUAACGCCUACCAAGGCUCCGACGGGUAGCCGGCCUGAGACGGGCGACCGGGCCACGACCGUGGGACUGGAGACACGGCCCAGACUCCUACGGGAGGCAGCAGUGGGAAUAUGCACAAUGGGCGAAAGCCUGAUGCAGCGACGCCGCGUGAGGGAUGGACGGCCUUCGGUGUAACCUCGUUUCGAGUCGAGGGACGAAGUACGAA
This 434-nucleotide ribosomal RNA is filed under the name uncultured soil bacterium. Its description in RNAcentral is "bacterial SSU rRNA". It matches the Rfam family "Bacterial small subunit ribosomal RNA", at positions 26 to 460 of the family's 1533-position model. The record is from RNAcentral.